GUCUAUAUGAAUAAAUUAUAUAGUCCGACCUCCUCACUGAAUAAAAUUUAAAGAGCCGCAGUAUUUUGACUGWGCRARGGNAGNAUAAUMAUUAGUUUUUUAAUUGAGAACUUGUAUGAACGGKUUGAUGAAAAAAAUMCUGUYUCAUUAUUUUAGUUUGAAUUUUACUUUUAAGUGAAAAGGCUUAAAUUAUUUAGAGGGACGAUAAGACCCUAUAAAGCUUAAUAAUAAAAUUUUAUUUUUAUUAUAUAUAAUGAAAGAUAUAAAUAAAAUAAUAUUAUUUUACUGGGGCGGUAAAGAUAAAAUUAAAUUUAACUAUCAAAAAAAUAAACAUUAAUAAAUGAAAAAAUGAUCCUGUAAUGUAGAUUAAAAGAUUAAGUUMCUUUAGGGAUAMCAGCGUAAUUUUUUUUAAAAGUUCAUAUNGAAAAAAAAGUUUGCGMCCUCKAUGUUGAAUUAAAAUAUCUCCAUAGYSCAGCCGCUAUGAAAAGAAGGUCUGUUCGACCUUUAAAUUUUU
This 514-nucleotide ribosomal RNA is filed under the name Epialtoides kingsleyi. RNAcentral's name for it is "partial large subunit ribosomal RNA". It matches the Rfam family "Archaeal large subunit ribosomal RNA", at positions 1956 to 2668 of the family's 2987-position model. Lineage: Eukaryota; Metazoa; Arthropoda; Malacostraca; Decapoda; Epialtidae. The record is from RNAcentral.